AAGCAAGUGGAUGACUUUCUUGCUUCUAUUGCUUCUCCAUCAACUGAAGUUCUCCGCAAGGUCCCUGAAAUGUCAUCUGUGGCCUCACGGUCCAGUCCAGGAAUAAGAAGAAAGAUUUCCCUAAAUACAUACACACCUACGAAGAUCCUCCCAACACCGCCUGCUGCUGUAAAGAGCACCAAAGCAAGCAGCAAAGCAGGAAAGAAGUACUGACGGGGAGCCAACAGGAAAUGCUUAGUCACUCACAAGAAGACCUAGGAGCUGCUGCGACAUUUCUCAAUGCUGGACAGUUGUUUGGAGUCGGGUAGUGAGAACUGACCUCAGAAUUAUCGACGAAG
This 338-nucleotide long non-coding RNA is filed under the name Rattus norvegicus (Norway rat). Its description in RNAcentral is "long non-coding RNA NONRATT029707". The record is from RNAcentral. Lineage: Eukaryota; Metazoa; Chordata; Mammalia; Rodentia; Muridae.